UAACCCCUUACUGAAGUAAGGGGCUUGAAGCGCAAGCUUCAGGUCUCUUAUCUUUAGCAGGGAGGCUGGAGAAAUCCAGCUUUCAUUGUCUAGACUAAGCUAUCCAAUCGGCUUCGGCUGACUGGAUAGAGGAACUACGUUAUCCAUGUCAUCACACCCAAGGAUGAUGCCCAAGUCUUUGGCUCUGU
This 188-nucleotide small RNA is filed under the name Lactobacillus equicursoris. RNAcentral describes it as "HNH endonuclease-associated RNA and ORF (HEARO) RNA". It matches the Rfam family "HNH endonuclease-associated RNA and ORF (HEARO) RNA", at positions 6 to 128 of the family's 211-position model. The record is from RNAcentral. Lineage: Bacteria; Bacillati; Bacillota; Bacilli; Lactobacillales; Lactobacillaceae.